Molecule: ribosomal RNA, 421 nt
Filed under: uncultured bacterium
Lineage: Bacteria
Description: partial 16S ribosomal RNA
Rfam family: Bacterial small subunit ribosomal RNA
Source: RNAcentral
AAUAUUGGACAAUGGGGGCAACCCUGAUCCAGCCAUGCCGCGUGUGUGAAGAAGGCCUUCGGUUUGUAAAGCCUUUUAAGUGGGGAGGAGGGGCUUUUGGUUAAUACUGUGAAUGUUGGCCGUUACAAACAAAAUACGCACGGGCUACCUCUGGGCCGGCAGCCGGGGUAAUACAGAGGGUGCAAGCGUCAAGCGGAAUUACUGGGCGUAAGGGGCGCGUAGGUGGUUCGGAAAGAAAGAUGUGAAAUCCCAGGGCUCAACCUUGGAACUGCAUUUUUAACUGCCGGACUAGAGUAUGUCAGAGGGGGGUAGAAUUCCACGUGUAGCAGUGAAAGGCGUAGAUAGGUGGAGGAAUGCCAGUGGCGAAGGCGACUACCUGGACUGAUACUGACACUGAGGUGCGAAAGCGUGGGGAGCAAAC